UUCGUUGGUAAAUUUUAAUUGAAGGUGUGUUUUUAUGAUAAUUGGACUCUAAUGACGAGGUAACGGAUAGUGUGACAUUUCAUUACAGUUAUGAGCUUAUUAUGCAUUGAUGAGGGACGCAAUCGCGUUUAUGAUUUUUCAACAACAUGAUCUCAGUUUAACCAGCAAAAAUUAACAUCCAAGUUGAAGACAAGCAAGCAGACUUCAGCCACUACCAAAAAGACUUGUCAUGUUCCAGAACCCACUUUAUCAACAAGAAGCAGUGGACGUAAAAGAUGCAUGAAAUUUGUUGGAAGAAAGAUUUCACAUGCGUGGUGUCCAGCUGAAGGGUCA
Molecule: long non-coding RNA, 333 nt
Organism: Pecten maximus
Lineage: Eukaryota; Metazoa; Mollusca; Bivalvia; Pectinida; Pectinidae
Exons: 3
Source: RefSeq, a predicted model, not a curated record